UACGUAGGGGGCUAGCGUUGUCCGGAAUCAUUGGGCAUAAAGCGCGUGUAGGCGGUCCGGUAAGUCCGCUGUGAAAGUCGGGGGCUCAACCCUCGGAUGCCGGUGGAUACUGUCGGGCUUGAGUACGGAAGAGGCGAGUGGAAUUCCUGGUGUAGCGGUGAAAUGCGCAGAUAUCAGGAGGAACACCAAUUGCGAAGGCAGCUCGCUGGGACGUUACUGACGCUGAGACGCGAAAGCGUGGGGAGCAAACAGG
Molecule: ribosomal RNA, 253 nt
Filed under: uncultured bacterium
Lineage: Bacteria
Description: partial 16S ribosomal RNA
Rfam family: Bacterial small subunit ribosomal RNA
Source: RNAcentral